This 459-nucleotide ribosomal RNA is filed under the name uncultured bacterium. Its description in RNAcentral is "partial 16S ribosomal RNA". It matches the Rfam family "Bacterial small subunit ribosomal RNA", at positions 338 to 795 of the family's 1533-position model. The record is from RNAcentral.
CCUACGGGUGGCUGCAGUGAGGAAUAUUGGUCAAUGGUCGGGAGACUGAACCAGCCAAGCCGCGUGAGGGAGGAAGGUACAGAGUAUCGUAAACCUCUUUUGUCAGGGAACAAAGACUGGGACGCGUCCCCGGAUGAGUGUACCCUGAGAAAAAGCAUCGGCUAACUCCGUGCCAGCAGCCGCGGUAAUACGGAGGAUGCGAGCGUUAUCCGGAUUUAUUGGGUUUAAAGGGUGCGUAGGCGGACGCUUAAGUCAGCGGUACACUUGCGGGGCUCAACCUCGUCGAGCCGUUGAAACUGGGUGCCUUGAGUGGGCGAGAGGUACGCGGAAUGCGUGGUGUAGCGGUGAAAUGCGUAGAUAUCACGCAGAACUCCGAUUGCGAAGGCAGCGUACCGGCGGCCGACUGACGCUGAAGCACGAAGGCGUGGGUAUCGAACAGGAUUAGAUACCCCAGUAGUC